Molecule: ribosomal RNA, 467 nt
Filed under: uncultured bacterium
Lineage: Bacteria
Description: bacterial SSU rRNA
Rfam family: Bacterial small subunit ribosomal RNA
Source: RNAcentral
ACUCCUACGGGAGGCAGCAGUAGGGAAUCUUCCGCAAUGGACGAAAGUCUGACGGAGCAACGCCGCGUGAGUGAUGAAGGUUUUCGGAUCGUAAAACUCUGUUGUUAGGGAAGAACAAGUACCGGAGUAACUGCCGGUACCUUGACGGUACCUAACCAGAAAGCCACGGCUAACUACGUGCCAGCAGCCGCGGUAAUACGUAGGUGGCAAGCGUUGUCCGGAAUUAUUGGGCGUAAAGCGCGCGCAGGUGGUUUCUUAAGUCUGAUGUGAAAGCCCCGGCUCAACCGGGAGGGUCAUUGGAAACUGGGAGACUUGAGUGCAGAAGAGGAAAGUGGAAUUCCAAGUGUAGCGGUGAAAUGCGUAGAGAUUUGGAGGAACACCAGUGGCGAAGGCGACUUUCUGGUCUGUAACUGACACUGAGGCGCGAAAGCGUGGGGAGCGAACAGGAUUAGAUACCCUGGUAGCUA